Molecule: long non-coding RNA, 2260 nt
Organism: Oreochromis niloticus (Nile tilapia)
Lineage: Eukaryota; Metazoa; Chordata; Actinopteri; Cichliformes; Cichlidae
Exons: 6
Source: RefSeq, a predicted model, not a curated record
CAGUAAACAAUGAUGGAGCUACCGGACCUGAUUAAUAUAUGAAUCGAGGCAUUUAGAGGCAAACAGGGAGUUAAUUGGAACCUUCUGGAACCUUUCAUAGUCUGAUUUCAAUAUCAGAAAACACACAGCAGGAUAACUGGGACACACAAACAAAAACAGACACACAAUUGUAAAGUGAAUCAAAGCGGCAGAAUCAUCUAAUUUCCAGCAGGGGAAAUCUGUACCUGAAGUAAUCAAACAACCACCUUGCUUUAGCAUCCUUCCAUCCACGUGCCUAAAAUAAAUAAAUUCUGGUUGUGCUUCUGUCUGAAAAGUCUAAGGGCAGCUUUCGCACACCUGCCGGACAGCGACGUAGUUUCCUGAUUUAACAGUCAAGCCAGCGUCUAUUGUGUGUCGCUCAUUGUGUCAAAAUUCAUUGUUAUUCAUGCAUUUAUUUCAACACGUCUGGAUAAUUGUAGCUCAUUGUUCACUUGUCUUAAAGUUGCCCUGAAGCAUCUGCAGGCUGUGAGUCUUAUAUUUGCUCUAGUGUCACACCGCUGAUAAUUCAGCUGCACUGAAGUCGUUCACGUUACCACGUGGUCCCUGUGAUAUACCACGUGGACAUCACAGAGACCACGUGCACUUUGAGAACCUCCGUGAUGGUCAAAGAUGCUACAGAAACACAGCUUGACCCCACCUCUGACUGAGGUUGUCACACAGCAGAAGCCGUUUGGUGUUAAUGGCCGCCAUUUACUCGAGACUCCCGUGUCCUCACAUGUGUAGCACGACGGUAAGCCUGCAGUCUCCAGAGUCCAAAGCUGACGUCAGAGAACCUGCUCUCAAAUGUUUAACGGUACAGAGGCACCAGCCUGAGCAGAGAAGCCCAGACUUUCACCUUUUCCCAUUUCUCUGAGGGAACACAGAGUUGUUCCAAAGCCAACCGAGAGAUGUAAUUUCUCCAGUGAGUCCUGGGUUUACCUAGGGCCAUCCUCCUAGGAGAGCUCAGCCACCCUUCAAAGGAGACUCAUUUCUGUCCCUGCUAGGGACAGGUUGCUACCCUGGGGCACAGACUCAAGGACAAGUGCCUGGUGUCUCAGCCUUAGCCUGAAGAAGCUACAUGGAUCUGUCUUCCUAUGGGCUCACCCCCCACAGGAGGGACCAUAGGGGUUCAGUAAGGCGGAGGUCCUGGCACUACAUGCUUAUCUUUUGUUUAGUUGUCACGCAUAGCCACUCUGAGGAGCAGGAUUUAAGGUUGCCAUUCCUCUGCAGAAGCAUGAAAGCUGACCAGCAGCAGCAGGAGGAGGAGGAGGUUAAAAAAGGAGAGAUUACAGGAGGAAAAAACUUUGAUGCGUACAUAUGCAAAUGAGGCUGGAAAUGUCAAAUUAGCAUAGAUUUGGGUCGGCCUCCCUCGCAGCUACGGGCAGCCGGGACGCCUGACAGCUCGGCCCGCGUCCAGACGGCCUGCUUUACAUAUUAGAGAGGCCUCCCAUCACCGCGGGUUACCACCAGCAUCUCGUCGCCUAGGAGACUGAUGGAGACUGACAGGGCGGACGGCCUGAGUGAUAGACUGACGGCUGAGAAAGAGAGAAAGAGAAAGAGGGGGGAUUAGCUGUGGGCCUCGCUCGUCCACAGAAUGUAAACAGGCUCGAUUAUGUAAAUGUGUCGCUAAUUUAAUCAAUUACUGCCGGAGUGUUCAGGACGACCCUGAGCCGAGCGCCACGAUGGACCCCACACUACAGACACAGCACUGAGAAAAUCUUCAUCAUCUCAUCUUCACCUCAUCCUUUUAUCUGACUGUUUGUGUUCUGUAAUUAAAUUCUGUUUCAGCUUGAUUUCUGUGCAAACCUCUACAGGUGAAGCAGGUAAGACAGCUGCCUGCUCAGGUAUGUGUGAACCCUGCAGCUUUAAGGACACAGCUCCCCCUGCUGGGGGACACUCAGAUGGCAGCGAGGACAAGAUCCAGGUCCUGCACCUAGGUGUGGAUCCUCCAGCCAGAUGUUUGAGCUUCAUUUCAAACCUUAAAAACCAACAAAUAUAAAGAAAGACAUCCUGAAAAACGCCCGACAUUUUCAAACCUGCUGCAUGCAAAGAUACGCAAUGAGGAAUAACAGAUGAGAGUCAUCGUGAACAAAUAAAAAUGUUUUAGUGUGUCUGAUCUGAUUUCUAUUUCUGUGUUUAUUGUUGUUCUUUUUCCUUCCUCUGACUUUAUGAAAUUGUUCUCGGUUCACGUGUUUAAUCUUUUGUCUCCGGCGGGUGUCAGGGCUGCUGUAUGAAUAAAGUU